This 300-nucleotide long non-coding RNA is filed under the name Erythranthe guttata (spotted monkey flower). Its description in RNAcentral is "long non-coding RNA (EGUT_LNC002361)". Lineage: Eukaryota; Viridiplantae; Streptophyta; Magnoliopsida; Lamiales; Phrymaceae. The record is from RNAcentral.
AGUGACAGCAACACCCACACACAAAAACAUCACAAACAAAACAGCAUGCAUGAAUGUGACCACAUAUGACAAUAUGACUACGAAGUACUACCCAUGAAAACAACACACAUAUACAAAAAAACACAAAAUUUGUGGCAUGCAUGAAUGUAACCACAUAUGCAAAUAUGACUACGAAGUACUACUAAUGGCAACAACAGUCUGACACCAAAAUUGGAUACAUGACUACGGUUUUUUCACAAAUUUGUGUAUUUGAAGUAGUGAAAUGGUUGAAUUAGGGUAGUACAUGUUGCUAGGUUUUCG